Molecule: small RNA, 30 nt
Filed under: Bombyx mori (domestic silkworm)
Lineage: Eukaryota; Metazoa; Arthropoda; Insecta; Lepidoptera; Bombycidae
Description: ovarian small RNA-27634
Source: RNAcentral
UCCGUGUACGAUGGCCAAACGGGCCAAACA